CGUUGUACGUUAUAUUUUGAAUAUUUAAAAAUACUAGACUUGCUAUAUCUCGGCCGCGCGCCGCGAGCCGUGAGCCGUUGACGGGUGACGGAAACCGGUUCGGCGAACUAUCCCUCCUAUGAGGCGACGCGAGCAGAGCCGGCGGUCAAUCGCGAGACGGUCACUAGCACGACGCCGCGAGCCGAUACAGACUACUACUACUACUGGUCUAUGUACAUUUUUAACUCGCGAUUGCAUUGCAUAUAAUUUAAUCUGGAAUAAACUAUUGUGCUUUUAAAAUUACAUUUAGAGUCAGUGUAUACCCCAGAUCGGGGUUCAAGUACCUGACUACCUCCAGUGCACCUACCGUAGUGCACCUACCCUAAGUGCACCUACCUACGCGCUUGUCUACCUACGUGCCUGUGUCUACCUACGUGCCUGUGUCUACCUACGUGCUUGUGCCUACCUACGUGCCGCGCCUAUCUACGUGUCCUGCAUCUACCUGCGCGUCCGGCAUCUACUAGCGCGCUGCACACCUACCCCGCCUGACCGCUGCCGAGCUGCCUGACUAUACAGGAUAGUGGUUCUAUAGCGGGCCAGAACUUAACGCGAGCUCGAUUAUUCUAAACCCACUCCCGGCUCUGCCGAUCCUUUUGUAGAAUAUACUUAUAUACUAAUUUACUAAAUUCCUUUUUAUUUUUCUACCUACUAGGGUACCUACUACUAAACAAAAACGUUACAGUGGCGCCCAAUAAAGGUAGAAUAUAUCGAGCCGUGUUUAGUUCUUGUUUGCUAAGCAUUUUGUAGUUGUCCUGGUGUUGGUUGUCUGUCAGUUGUGUUGAAUUUAAUCACAGCCUACCAAAUGUGAAUCUACCCACAUCUUUUUAAUAAUUUUUUUUCUCUCUAAUAUUUAAAUUUAACCGUCCAUUUUUACUUGACCUACCGUCAAUAUUUUUCUACCCCAAAA
Long non-coding RNA from Helicoverpa armigera (cotton bollworm), 946 nucleotides. RefSeq lists it as uncharacterized. Lineage: Eukaryota; Metazoa; Arthropoda; Insecta; Lepidoptera; Noctuidae. The transcript is spliced from 2 exons. The record is from RefSeq and is a predicted model, not a curated record.